GUAUUUUCGAAUUAAGUUAAUUCGUGAUAACAAAUGUUCAGACAAAUAAGUUAAAGGUGAUGUUGGUAAGUUGUAGAGGUUCCCCCUUCCGUAACCUAAAAGAUAACGAUAGAGGGUCUCAUAACGUUGCACACAAGGUGGAUAUGGAUUUAAAAAGUGCCAUAAAACACUUAUUAUGAAUGAUCCUUCCGCAGGUUCACCUACGGAAA
Molecule: unclassified non-coding RNA, 209 nt
Filed under: uncultured fungus
Lineage: Eukaryota; Fungi
Description: sequence contains ITS1, 5.8S rRNA gene
Source: RNAcentral